UACGAAGGGGGCUAGCGUUGCUCGGAAUGACUGGGCGUAAAGGGCGCGUAGGCGGUUUGCACAGUCAGGCGUGAAAUUCCUGGGCUUAACCUGGGGGCUGCGCUUGAUACGUGUUGACUGGAGUGCGGAAGAGGGUCGUGGAAUUCCCAGUGUAGCGGUGAAAUGCGUAGAUAUCGGAAGGAACACCGGUGGCGAAAGCGGCGCGCUGGACCUCUUCUGACGCUGAGGCGCGAAAGCCAGGGGAGCGAACGGG
RNAcentral lists this ribosomal RNA (253 nucleotides) under uncultured bacterium. RNAcentral describes it as "partial 16S ribosomal RNA". It matches the Rfam family "Bacterial small subunit ribosomal RNA", at positions 524 to 776 of the family's 1533-position model. The record is from RNAcentral.